GACGAACGCUGGCGGCGUGCUUAACACAUGCAAGUCGAGCGGUAAGGCCCUUUCGGGGGUACACGAGCGGCGAACGGGUGAGUAACACGUGGGUGACCUGCCCUCAGCUCUGGGAUAAGCCUGGGAAACUGGGUCUAAUACUGGAUAUGACUCCACGGUGCAUGUCGUGGGGUGGAAAGCCUUGUGCGGCUGAGGAUGGGCCCGCGGCCUAUCAGCUUGUUGGUGGGGNGAUGGCCUACCAAGGCGACGACGGGUAGCCGGCCUGAGAGGGCGACCGGCCACACUGGGACUGAGACACGGCCCAGACUCCUACGGGAGGGCAGCAGGUGGGGAAUCUUGCGCAAUGGGCGAAAGCCUGACGCAGCGACGCCGCGUGAGGGAUGACGGCC
Molecule: ribosomal RNA, 389 nt
Filed under: uncultured bacterium
Lineage: Bacteria
Description: bacterial SSU rRNA
Rfam family: Bacterial small subunit ribosomal RNA
Source: RNAcentral